This 406-nucleotide long non-coding RNA is filed under the name Brassica napus (rape). RNAcentral's name for it is "long non-coding RNA (BNAP_LNC014814)". The record is from RNAcentral. Lineage: Eukaryota; Viridiplantae; Streptophyta; Magnoliopsida; Brassicales; Brassicaceae.
CAAAGAUCUCAUUAGCGUCUACGCACUAACGGCGUUAGAUUAAGUGCGAGGAUGUUUUGAUGCGGUGAGAGUGAGACUGGCGGAUAAAGAUAUCAUAUGGCUACUUGCCUCUUGAUUAUUUAUCCUGGUAAAAAAGCUUACGAUACGAACAUCUUCAAAAACAUUUGUGUUAAUAAUAUAACUUUGGCGUACCCUAAAGAUCAAAAUGGAUCAUAUUUAUCUGUGUGUUUUAAUGUUUUGUGAUGCUUAGCUGUGCUUAAACAUUUAUAAAUGAUUUAAAAAGGUUACUAAUCUUUUUAUCACAAACUUAAAAGUAUUUAUGAAAAUGAUUAUCUUUUAAAGGUAAAUUUGAAAAAUAAUAUCAAAUUUGUGGUAGAAUUGAAAUUUCUCCAUAAUAAAUUAUUUU